Gallus gallus (chicken) is the source of this 1115-nucleotide long non-coding RNA. RefSeq lists it as uncharacterized. Lineage: Eukaryota; Metazoa; Chordata; Aves; Galliformes; Phasianidae. The record is from RefSeq and is a predicted model, not a curated record. The transcript has 2 exons.
GGGGCCUCGGGGCCCAGUCUGGAAGGGGCCUGGCACAGUUGAGGCCUCCUUUGGGCCCAGUCUGGAGGGGGCCCAGGCUGGAGGAGGACCAGGCUCAGUUGGGGCUGCUUUGUGGCCCAGGCUGGAGGAGGACCAGGCUCAGUUGGGGCUGCUUUGGGGCCCAGUCUGGAGGGGAGCCCAGCACAGUCGGGGCCUCGGGGCCCAGUCUGGAGGGGACCUGGCACAGUUGUGGCCUCCUUUUGGCCCAGUCUGGAGAGGGCCCAGGCAGAGCCAUGGCCUCGGGGCUUAGGCUGGAGGAGGACCAGGCUCAGUUGGGGCCGCUUUGGGGCUCAGGAGGCCCAGUCUGGAGGAGGACCAGGCUCAGUUGGGGCUGCUUUGGGGCCCAGUCUGGAGGAGGACCAGGCUCAGCUGGAGCUGCUUUGGGGCCCAGUCCAGAGGGAUGCCCAGCACAGCCAGAGCCUUGUGGCAGCAGUCCAACUCUCAAGUCAACCUUUAACCAUAACCUAAAAUGGUAACCGUAGUGAAAGGUAGUGGCAGAUACAGCUGCUUUACUGUGUUUUUAUUUUCCCAAGAAUGGUGAAGGACUCAAGCUAGUAAAGAAAGACCCCUUUCUGAAGAACAGGACUCAGAAGGUAUUAGCAGAGAGCAGAUGUCCCAGUAGAGAUUCUUCCCCUUAGACAGCCAGCCCUUAAAUGAGGUUAGGGAGGGCUGGGACCAGGCUCCACCCCUUUUCUGCACAGGUGAAACGCUUCCAGCCGUGCUCCGCAGCAGACCAUGUUUUAACAAAGGUGAAAGCCUGUGAAACAAAAGAAUCCCUUCUUACUUGUUUCACGUUUGUGUUUGUUGACCGCAGUUCCAACCAGGUGGACUCUGUGUCUUGCAAGCGACACCUAGAAGCAGGUACAGGCAGGAGGUACAGCACCCUGCAACCUCCAGGGGCCUUUGUGCAACACCAGAUGUUCAUGUCCUAGAAGCACGUGGCGGAGCACGUCCUGGGAUCAAGGUGCCAUGGACUGGAAAAUGCAGCUCUGGACAUACAGGCUUGGCGGAGUUCCUGUGUGAAGACAAAACUCCCAGUACUCCAGAAACGUGGAGGCAGAAGAGCAGUGACAAGG